Molecule: ribosomal RNA, 164 nt
Filed under: Atriplex amnicola
Lineage: Eukaryota; Viridiplantae; Streptophyta; Magnoliopsida; Caryophyllales; Amaranthaceae
Also listed under: 1 other name
Description: 5.8S ribosomal RNA
Rfam family: 5.8S ribosomal RNA
About the family: 5.8S ribosomal RNA (5.8S rRNA) is a component of the large subunit of the eukaryotic ribosome. It is transcribed by RNA polymerase I as part of the 45S precursor that also contains 18S and 28S rRNA.
Source: RNAcentral
UAAACGACUCUCGGCAACGGAUAUCUCGGCUCUCGCAUCGAUGAAGAACGUAGCGAAAUGCGAUACUUGGUGUGAAUUGCAGAAUCCCGUGAACCAUCGAGUCUUUGAACGCAAGUUGCGCCCGAAGCCUUUAGGACGAGGGCACGCCUGCCUGGGCGUCACGC